GACGAACGCUGGCGGCGUGCUUAACACAUGCAAGUCGAACGGAAAGGCCCUGCUUUUGUGGGGUGCUCGAGUGGCGAACGGGUGAGUAACACGUGAGUAACCUGCCCUUGACUUUGGGAUAACUUCAGGAAACUGGGGCUAAUACCGGAUAGGAGCUCCUGCUGCAUGGUGGGGGUUGGAAAGUUUCGGCGGUUGGGGAUGGACUCGCGGCUUAUCAGCUUGUUGGUGGGGUAGUGGCUUACCAAGGCUUUGACGGGUAGCCGGCCUGAGAGGGUGACCGGCCACAUUGGGACUGAGAUACGGCCAAGACUCCUACGGGAGGCAGCAGUGGGGAAUAUUGCACAAUGGGCGGAAGCCUGAUGCAGCAACGCCGCGUGCGGGAUGACGGCCUUCGGGUUGUAAACCGCUUUCGCCUAUGACGAAGCGUGAGUGACGGUAAUGGGUAAAGAAGCACCGGCUAACUACGUG
This 468-nucleotide ribosomal RNA is filed under the name uncultured bacterium. RNAcentral's name for it is "partial 16S ribosomal RNA". It matches the Rfam family "Bacterial small subunit ribosomal RNA", at positions 28 to 507 of the family's 1533-position model. The record is from RNAcentral.